CCCUGGGCCCUCUGGAUGGACCCUAGCCUCGCUCCGUGGCCCCAGGAGCCAAAGCCGAAUCGGCCCUGUGCAACAUCUAGAAAGCAUGGGUGGGGGGAGCUCCCAUCAGCGCUCAUCCCAGAGCCCCCCAGACCAGCCAGGGCCCCCCUCUCCACACCUCCCUCUGUUUUCCUCCUGGCCCCACGUCACUGUGCGAACACCCAACUUUUCUUCGGAGACGGCACCAGGCUCACGGUUGUAGAUGACCUGAAGAAGGUGCAGCCACCCAGGGUCACCGUGUUCGAACCAUCGGAAGCAGAGAUUGCCCGCACCCAGAAGGCCACGCUCGUGUGCCUGGCCACAGGCUUCUACCCCGACCACGUGGAGCUGAGCUGGUGGGUGAAUGGCAAGGAGGUACUGAGUGGGGUCAGCACCGACCCCCAGCCCUACAAGGAGCACCCCAACCGCAAUGACUCCAACUACUGCCUGAGCAGCCGGCUGAGGGUCUCCGCCGACUUCUGGAGCAACCCCCGCAACUACUUCAGCUGCCAAGUCCAGUUCUACGGGCUGGGAAAGAACGACACUUGGAAGGAGGAGGACGGUCCCAAGCCCACCACCCAGAACGUCAGCGCCGGGGCCUGGGGCAGAGCAGAGUGUGGUGUCACCUCAGCGUCCUAUAAGCAAGGGGUCCUGUCUGCCACCCUCAUGUAUGAGAUCCUGCUGGGGAAGGCCACCGUGUACGCAGUGCUGGUCAGCGCUCUGGUGCUGAUGGCCAUGGUCAAGAGAAAGGAUUCCUGAUGCCAGCUCAGAGGCGGAGCCACGAACUCCCAGCCUGCUACCACCCCAGUGUGGAUUCGCCUUUUCCCAUUCCCAGCCAGUGCUUCUGAAGAGCCGUUCUCAUCUCUCAGCUCAUCCCCAUGUACCUGCACAGCAGAGCGCUCAUGACCACAAUCUCCCUGACCCCAGGGGCACCCCGGGGGGCCUGAAUGGACUGAACCAAUAAAAAUGGCCUGUUUUCGCUUGA
Phyllostomus discolor (pale spear-nosed bat) is the source of this 1003-nucleotide non-coding RNA. NCBI's taxonomy places the organism in Eukaryota, Metazoa, Chordata, Mammalia, Chiroptera, Phyllostomidae. The record is from the annotation of a RefSeq genome assembly.